This 71-nucleotide transfer RNA is filed under the name Chloroflexi bacterium TMED70. RNAcentral's name for it is "tRNA-Ala". It matches the Rfam family "tRNA". From Rfam's summary of the family: Transfer RNA (tRNA) molecules are approximately 80 nucleotides in length. Their secondary structure includes four short double-helical elements and three loops (D, anti-codon, and T loops). Further hydrogen bonds mediate the characteristic L-shaped molecular structure. tRNAs have two regions of fundamental functional importance: the anti-codon, which is responsible for specific mRNA codon recognition, and the 3' end, to which the tRNAs corresponding amino acid is attached (by aminoacyl-tRNA synthetases). tRNAs cope with the degeneracy of the genetic code in two manners: having more than one tRNA (with a specific anti-codon) for a particular amino acid; and 'wobble' base-pairing, i.e. permitting non-standard base-pairing at the 3rd anti-codon position. Lineage: Bacteria; Bacillati; Chloroflexota. The record is from RNAcentral.
UGUAGCUCAGCUGGGAGAGCGCAUCGCUGGCAGCGAUGAGGUCAGGGGUUCGAUCCCCCUCAGCUCCACCA